Molecule: ribosomal RNA, 845 nt
Filed under: Cronobacter sakazakii
Lineage: Bacteria; Pseudomonadati; Pseudomonadota; Gammaproteobacteria; Enterobacterales; Enterobacteriaceae
Description: partial 23S ribosomal RNA
Rfam family: Bacterial large subunit ribosomal RNA
Source: RNAcentral
GGUUAAGCGAACAAGCGUACACGGUGGAUGCCCUGGCAGUCAGAGGCGAUGAAGGACGUGCUAAUCUGCGAAAAGCGCCGGUAAGGUGAUAUGAACCGUUAUAACCGGCGAUGUCCGAAUGGGGAAACCCGGUGCACUUCGGUGCAUCAUCGUUAGCUGAAUACAUAGGCUAACGAGGCGAACCGGGGGAACUGAAACAUCUAAGUACCCCGAGGAAAAGAAAUCAACCGAGAUUCCCCCAGUAGCGGCGAGCGAACGGGGAACAGCCCAGAGCCUGAAUCAGCUUGUGUGUCAGUGGAACGGUCUGGAAAGGCCGGCGAUACAGGGUGACAGCCCCGUACACGAAGGCACACAGGCUGUGAGCUCGAUGAGUAGGGCGGGACACGUGAUAUCCUGUCUGAAGAUGGGGGGACCAUCCUCCAAGGCUAAAUACUCCUGACUGACCGAUAGUGAACCAGUACCGUGAGGGAAAGGCGAAAAGAACCCCGGCGAGGGGAGUGAAACAGAACCUGAAACCGUGUACGUACAAGCAGUGGGAGCCUUCGUAAGAGGGUGACUGCGUACCUUUUGUAUAAUGGGUCAGCGACUUAUAUUCUGUAGCAAGGUUAACCGUAUAGGGGAGCCGAAGGGAAACCGAGUCUUAAUUGGGCGUUAAGUUGCAGGGUAUAGACCCGAAACCCGGUGAUCUAGCCAUGGGCAGGUUGAAGGUUGGGUAACACUAACUGGAGGACCGAACCGACUAAUGUUGAAAAAUUAGCGGAUGACCUGUGGCUGGGGGUGAAAGGCCAAUCAAACCGGGAGAUAGCUGGUUCUCCCCGAAAGCUAUUUAGGUAGCGCCUCGUGAA